CAUCUCUCCCCAGCACCCCGUCCAGCAGCUGUUUUAACCAGGACAAGGAUGCUUGGAGUUCAGACGUCUCAUCACUUUCACUUUGGGCCUUACAUGGGCAGGAGUGUUUCAGCCACUUUACUCAGCACCAGACAUUGGUGUGUGAAUGCAUGGAUGACCACUCAAAGAAGGACAGUUACAGAAGCAUUGGAGACGAUGCACUUACAGAAACGCCUAAGCCAUAGGGGAGCUCAAGUCACCUAACGCCUCCAACCA
Long non-coding RNA from Varanus komodoensis (Komodo dragon), 255 nucleotides. RefSeq lists it as uncharacterized. The record is from RefSeq and is a predicted model, not a curated record. NCBI's taxonomy places the organism in Eukaryota, Metazoa, Chordata, Lepidosauria, Squamata, Varanidae. The transcript is spliced from 3 exons.